GACAGAGGGUGCAAACGUUGUUCGGAAUUACUGGGCGUAAAGCGAGUGUAGGCGGUUCGGUAAGUCGGAUGUGAAAGCCCCGGGCUCAACCCGGGAAGUGCACUCGAUACUGCCGAGCUAGAGUAUCGGAGAGGUUGGUGGAAUUCUCGGUGUAGAGGUGAAAUUCGUAGAUAUCGGGAGGAACACCAGUGGCGAAGGCGACUACCUGGCCUGUUCUUGACGCUGAGGCGCGAAAGCUAGGGGAGCAAACGGG
RNAcentral lists this ribosomal RNA (253 nucleotides) under uncultured bacterium. RNAcentral describes it as "partial 16S ribosomal RNA". It matches the Rfam family "Bacterial small subunit ribosomal RNA", at positions 524 to 776 of the family's 1533-position model. The record is from RNAcentral.